AUUUUAUGGGUUUUUAUGCGUUCCUUCUUCCCCAAAAUCAGCCCUUGCCUCUUUCGCUGGAGACGGCAAUUGAUGGAAAUCCUAUCAAUAAAUGAGAGGCAUAGGCAUCGCCUCUCUAUCCAAUCAGUCUUCCCUGCCUCCCCAACAAACUCUUGAUACGAAAUAAACCUCCCGCCAUAGAGAAGAAAGAGAUCUAAAGUCCAGUCCCCUCGAGCACCCUUCCUUUGAACCGGAACUGGUCGAGAGAGAUGCCUCUUCCUUCCUUCGUCGUCGUCCACACCCACGCCCCUUCUUCUCUCCUCAUACGUCAGAUUAUCUCUACCCAAAACAAAUCGUUCGAUAUUUGAGCAAACCCAUUUUCUCGGCCCCCUGUACUCUGUUUUAGAUCAAUAUUCUAUUGACAUGGUCUCUCAACAUCACAACAGCGCAAGAGUUGUUUGUGAUAUGGUCUUUCUUAUUUUUCUAAUAUUAUUCAUUCAUAGUUGUUCAAUUUUUAGAGAGAGAUAGAGAAUGGUGGGACGAGGGAAGAAGAAAGAGAGGCCGAAGAGAAGGGGUUGGCCAGCAGCAAGGAAAGUGAGGUGUCUACCGUCGCGAGGUGGGGUAACUGUUGAUAUUCUUUUUAUGAUUAAUUUUAGUUUUAUAAUUAUUAAUUAUUAUUUAAAAUUAAUAAAGUACCUUUAAUUAUGAUUAAAUGAAAAGACACUAACGGAUUGUAAGAAGAUGGUGAGCACCCACCCAAGUUAAUAACAGUGAGCAAAAUUGCUCCAGUUUCAAAAAGUAAUUCAUUGAUUAGUAGAUUUGCAAAUGAAAAAUCAAUUGAGCAAAAGACAAAAAGACAGCAGUUGAUCACUAGUUCCCGACUUUUCCCCUUAUUUGAUAGAAAAAGAGAACUGUUUUACAAUAAUGUAAGAAUUAAAAAGUGUGUAAGGAACGAGAAAUUUUCCGAGAACUCCAUCUCAUACAUGACAGGUGGAGAUCUUGUUGUCCAUCAAAUUCCCCACCCUUCUCACCAACCUAAAAUCGACAGCACUGCUUCGUCUCGUCCUUCAUCGCCUGCUCUCUGUCAAGUCCUUGGUCGAGUUGUCCACCAUGCACAACACCAACAAGGGUUUGAAUCCAGCAAAGCAAAAGGGUUUAGUAUGUUUAGGAGUUGGGUGAAUCUAGGAAUCUACAAAGAAAGAAGAUGAGAAGGGCGAAUCUUCGAAUUUACCAAAGAAUAAGAUGAACAGAUUAAGAAAUUGAAGGAGUUAAAGCUUUUUUUGUUCUUUUUCCAACAAUUGAAAUGUUUUAUUAAUAGGUUUUAUCUCGAACAAACAAAAAAAAGGCAAGAAAUUUAAUAGAAAAUAGAUUUGCCACAUGCUAGAUGUUGAUUGGGUAGUUGUUGACCCUAGAAACUACAAAGCCUACGUGGCGCGCAGGCCGAGCUCGACCAAUAAGGAUUGGGAAACCUUUCUCGAUCGAGACUUGGAUAGGUAAUCAACCGUCCUCGCCGCAGUGCUGUUGAUGCCAACGGAAGAUGCUGUGAGAUCGGCUGAUUCUACGGAGAUAGAGCUAUCUAUGCCGACUUAAGAUAUCACCGGUUGCUUUCACAGUGCUGUUGAUGCCAACGAAAGAUGUGUCAGCGAAAAAGAAGAAGAAAAAAUCUCAAGUUGUUGAGAGUUUGCGCAAGGCAAUUUUGUAUUGAUUUGCAGGCCUUUGAAUGACGCACAACUUCCCCUAUUUAUAGUACUGGAUCUUGAAUUCGAGUUAAAAUCCUACUCGGACUAGGUCUUCCUCUCCGGAUCAACACCACCUCGACCAGUCCUAUUUUCACUAGGAUUGUGAACCUAGUCCUUAACUGAGCCAGAUUCGCUUCUGGGUUACUGAUCCUGCCGAGACUCCCUAUUGUACUAGGACUCGACUUGCGUUAUGAUCUAACCGAGCUAGGCUUGGAAGCUCACGAGCUGAACGAUCCAUGGCCUUCUCGCCGCACGGCCUCCCGGGCCGAGAAUGAUCCUACCUUCGGCCCAAACUAUUAUUUUGGGCCCAAACAUUGCCCCCUCGCUUCUGAGGUCCUCGGCCUGAAUUCUUCGGCCGAGUUUCGGCCUUGAAGAAGCGAAUCUACCACUCAGAACCCUAGUGCCCGAGUUCCAAGGCGCAUUUAUUGAACAUGAUUGCACUAUCUUGAUCCUGCUAACCAAACUCGCCACGUGGCGUCCUCUAACACGGCUAAUCUUUAAUAAUGACGUCUAAGGCGUGCGGCUGCCUGAACCGUCCUGCCAUCAUGACCUUAUGGCUGAACUUAACCACUACCUCAAUCCGCGAGCCACUACCUCAAUCCGUGAGUCACUUGUCAUCGUGCAGGCGUCGAAACGUCUUCCGCCAUUAAUUUCGCCGUCACACGCAAUCGUGCGCCCCCAAAACCUAAGACCUUCGGUCUUCUCAACUGCAUUUCCCAAAUGUUCAUCAUGAUCAGCGAUUCCUUCGGUCGAUUUUGCCCUCUGUUUUGAAUUUCAAACGAUUGCCCUUCCUGCCAAAAUCCUAUAAAUACUGAAAUCCCUCAUUCAUACUUUACGCUUCCAAAAUCACUCCGAAAUUUCUUGCCCUUGUUCUCCAGCACAUUUCUCAUUCCCAGGUAUUCAUCUUCAAAUCCCCCAACCCAGAAAACUUUUUACACCGUGCUUCCUUCCUACAAUGGCGUCCUUCAUCUCUAAGCUUUCCAGGGAAUGUGACCAGCAUCAGAAAAUUCUUGAUCGGAGCUUGAUCAAAACCAUACGGUUUGAAAGUGACAUGAGCACUUCCCACCAAAUCUUGGGUCCCCUUUUCAAGGCGACAGUACCGUCGACCAUUACUGGCAUUCUCCAGGAACACUGCCUAACAUCCUUGCUCCAAGGGUUUGAAUGGUCGAGAUGGGAUGCGGCGAAACCCCAAGGCUCCUGGCCCUCGACGAUCACAACCUGGGCAGCCUGGGUUGUUCGAAUGGAAAGGCUCUAAUGCGAGCAAUGGAAGGCCCUCGGCAUCUACGACGCCAUCCUCAUCUCGUCAAUGGAUAUCGUUCCCGAUAAGGAGCUUCUCCUAGCCACCUUGUGCUUCUGGUGCUCGGCCACCAACAUCAUGGUUCUUCCUCUUGGUCCCAUCGGCCCCACCAUUCUUGAUGUCAUCGCCAUUUUGGGCACUUCGGCAACUGGGAUCCCCAUCGAUGCGGCCCUCUCUGGGUACCCGUCGAAUAUUGACCUGAAGACGCUUUUUGAUCGACGGGCUUUUGAGACGUUGAACUAUGAAGGUCAAAUCCCGUCGAAAGAAGACAUUCAGAAGCUCCACAAGAACUUCUUCAAUUACAACACCCUCUAUCUCCAUUUCGCCGGCCGAGGAGAAGAGGACCUGCGAGAAGGAGAACAUGAAGCUUUCCUCUUCUAUUGGUACAACAAGUACAUUUGUUGUACCAAGUCGAACAAAUGCCUGGUUAAGAACAUGCCGGUAGCCGAUGCCCUGGCUAGUGGUCACGUCCUGUCACUGAGCUCCAACAUUCUCACCCAUCUCUUCCCCUGCCUGGCCGAGGCGACCCUUCACAAAAUCGACCCACACCAGAAUGGUCCCCUCUGGGUCUUCCAACUCUGGUUACAAGUUUACUUUGCCUCCCUUCGGCCGGCCAUAGCUGAUUUCUCACCAACGGAGGCGCUUGGACCUCAGCUGGCCUCCCGACCGACACCCCCUCACCAAGCCGAAUAAGUAUUUAGGUACCUCUUCGCUCUUGAUGACCUCUCCAACGACGAAUUCCUGAUAUGUCGUCGUCGAAACUAUCAUUCCUCCAUCAGGCUACCUACAUCCAUGUGGGGCGCGGGGGAAGAUGCCCACCUUCGUCAGUCCUGGGGGUCGUUCGUGCUCACUCGCGACCUUCCUCUCGGCUGUGAUGGGAAACGAGCGGGUUGGGAAGUGUACCAUCCUAACUUCCUUGUUCGACAGCUCGGCUAUCUCCAAGGCUGCCCGGUCCCCUUUCUCUCCUCCCGAACAGUCAUAAGCCGUGGACGUGAACCCCGUUCCUCGGAGAAGGAAUGCAAAACUGCCGCGAGGGAGUUCCAAGAGCAAUACCAAAAAUUCCGCCUUCGACCGGCCACCCCAGAAACUCUUUGCACUGACACCUUCGGUGAUUGGUGGGAAGAUUAUACCCAGGAGUUCUUUGGUGCUCCGGUCGAAGGUGUGUUGAACAAACUCUUCGGUGAACGACCUAAGAAGGCCUCGGCCCCCCAAGCUCAAGGUAACUGUUCAUUUCUCCCCUUUUCCUUCAACUUUGCAUAUUGAUUUGCCUUGCUGAUUUGCUUUUAUCCUCUCACGUAGUCGGCCAUUGAGAAAAGUGGAAGCAGUUGCCGCGGCUACGGCCGAGAAAAAAUCGGUCGUGGCUAAGAAGGAUAAGACUACUGGUCGGGCCGUGCUGACCAAACGGCCUCGCCAAGAGGCCGAGCUGGCUGUCGAACCUCCACCGCCUGCCAAGCGGGUAAAAAAGCUGGCAAAGAAGGGCGCACGGGAGAUCCACGUCAUCUCCAGUCAAACUAUGGGGGCGACGACUCCCAGUGUUUCCCCUUCUCCUGCCGUCGGCCAACCCUUGGUCGAGAAACAACCAGCUUCGGCCGUAGAGACAGUUCAAGCACGGCCUGUUUCUGGGGCCGGUACACCAGUUGUGCCCCCCUCUGUCGAGGAGGCACCUGUUCCGAAAAAGGCAGUUUCUACGACCGAGGGAACUUCCCCUGAAAAUCCAAAGCCCUCGGUCUUCGUUCUGGAAGAGAGUGAGGGGAGCGACGAGGUCCCGCUGGCAAAUUGUCCUCAUACUCGCCGACAACCUCUUCCAAUGCCCGAGAUGGCGGUUCAAGCCGGCCCCUCCACGGCUGAUCGUGGCAAGCGUCCGGUCGAGGAACCAACAGCGGUGGCCGAACCCCCUGCUCCUUCUCAGGACCAGGAUGUCCCUCCCUCAUCCGAAGCGGCUGUCCCGGUCGGCCCCUCCACAGCCGACCGUGGCAAACGACCGGCCGAGGAACCCGAUGCAACGGCGGAAACGCCCGUUCAUCCUCAAGACCAGGGCUUCCACAUUCCUCCGUAGGAGGUUACUUCGGCCUUCGUAAGUAUCCUCUAACGUCUUUCCUUGAUUGCUUUUCUGCUUUAGAAUUCUAAACGAGGAAAAUACUAAAUGUCAGGUGCCUGUACACUCAUUUCACCGAAAUUCUACGCGCCGAAGGGCGUUAUCUAUAUUUCUUGGCCGCCUCAGUGGCCAUCGAACGUAGAUAACCUCCAUCGGCCGCGUGAACUGAGAAGCAAUCUAAGACACUGGGCUCAGCCAUUGAGUUCUUUGGGUUCGAGCAACGAUCCUGGAGACAUGGCUGAGGUCUCCUCUCGGCAGGUUAAAAAAAAUGAAACCUUCUUGCUAUCCUUGUCAUGACUUCUUUUGAGCUUAACCUAAUUUGUGUGUGCAGGCUUCGUGGGAGGUCGAAUUCAAAGCCAUCCUCUCCAGCAUAACUACCGGGUCUGGUCAUUCGGCCGCCAUGACUGAAGCUGCCGAUUCAACCGCUUUGUCUCAGUUGCGAGAAGUCUUGUCGCUUUCGGCAUCGCAAGUACUCGAGCGCAACGGUCUUGAUUUGCUUGGCGCAUAUCUGAACGACCUCGGAGCUGACGGUCGUCUAAGCGGAGAUGCUAUCGUUCGGGCAUCGUUGGCCUUGGAGCGUGUUCGGGAGACAUUUAGUAUCUUCCAGACUGCUCUAAAGGCCAAACAAGACCUGCAAGCUGCCACGGCCGUCCAAGACACUCUCCGUCCGAAAAUCGACACCUUAAAAGUAAAAGGAGAAGCAUUGGCCGAGCUCGACCGUCAAAUGGCGGAACUAGCGAAACGUAGGUCGGCCAUUGCCUCCGAUCUUGCUAAGGACUUCGAGUCAGGCGAAAAAGAUUACCUGACCGAGUAUGCGGCGACCACAAAACGGGUCGAGCGGUUGAAGCUGGACAAGAAGAAUCGACAAGCCGAUGUCAUCAUGGGCGAGGUGCGGUGGUUGGAGUUGAAGGCCCUGCUCGGCACUCUUCUACCCUCUUCCCCUUGAAUGUACUUGAAUGUAAACCGAUCGACUUACUUAUUUUGUACAUGUUUAUCAAUCUUAAUGAAAUGGUUUUUUAUUCCCACAUUUCCCACGUGACCAGGUAGUAUUUUUUCAAAAACUUCCCGUUGAUUGGUAAUCUGUGAACCAAACCGGUCCGGUCUUUAAGAUGAUAUGCCCCUUUUUCGUAUACUUUAUGUAUAACGAAUGGUCCUUCCCAAUUUGGCGACCACUUGCCGAACCUAGGAUCUUUUAGUCCUACGGGUAACACCGUUUGCCAAACCAAUUCACCUUCGCCGAAUGUUUUCCGUCGCACCUUUUGAUUAUAUGCUCGUUCGGCAAUCCGUUUUUGUGCCACCAGUAAGUUGUAAGCGUCAAGUCGCACUUCUUCCAAAUCUUCUAAUUCUUGUCUCAUGGACUGAUUAUAUUCGGCGCUAAACAAACUACUUUGUUCAAUCAAUCGCAACGAAUUUAUACUUAACUCGACUGGCAACAUUGCAUCGUGUCCGUAUGUUAAUGCGUAUGGGGUUGUUGCAGUCGUCGAUCGGGGCGACGUUCGGUAUGCCCAUAAUGCCUCGUUCAACUUCAAAUGCCACAUGCCAGGCCUUUCUUUUAUUAUUUUUUCGAGGAUGCCGAUCAACACUUUAUUACCUGCCUCGGCCUGCCCAUUCGCCUGUGGAUAAUAUGGUGUGGACUGUUCCAGCCGAAUUUUCAAAUUUGCCGUGUACUCUUUAAACCUUUCGGCUGUGAAGAUUGUUCCAUUAUCGGUUAUGAUCGUUUUCGGUACGCCAAAUUGGGUCACAAUGUGUUCCUCCACGAAGUCGCAAACUUCUUUAGAUGUUAACUCGGCAUAUGAUUUUGCUUCGACCCACUUAGUAAAGUAAUCAGUUGCGACUAUUAUCCAUGCAUGCUUAGCAGCUCCAGAAGAUGGCGUGAUUUUGCCGAUUACGUCCAUGGCCCAUCCUCUAAACGGCCAUGGCUUAAUGACCGAAUGCAGUGAUUCGGCCGGGACCCUUUGUAUAGGCCCGUGGAUUUGGCACUGUACGCAUCCUCAUGCAAACUCGAUACAAUCCUUUAGUAUUCUCGGCCAAAAAUAGCCGUGCCGUCGAAGUAACCAUCGCAUUUUCCGUCCGGAUUGAUGAGCUCCGCAUACCCCUUCAUGGACUUCUGUAAUCGCCCGAGCACUCUCUUGGGGGCCGAGGCAUAGCAAUAACAAACCAUCUUCACCUUUUCGGUAUAACUCGUUUUGGUACGUGACAUAGUUCGUGGCGUGAACUCGUGCCCUGCGACUAUGUUUUCCAUUUGGAUUAUCAAGGUACUGCAUAAUGGAUGUUCUCCAAUCAUCUGGUAUUACCUCGGCUGUACAAAUUUCUAUAGAAUCCUGCUGAUCUAACAAGGAAGGUAAGGACAUGACCCUGGUGCGUAUCACGUUGUCGCGUCGGAGGAUUUGCUGGUUAACCAAGGCCGGGUAUAACAGUCGUAACACCGGUAUCUCUCGGCCUAACUUGCCCACCAGGAGUUGUGCGUCGGAGGCAAUUUGAGCUAAUUCAUUUACGUCGGUAUUAUGACUCCGGGAAAUAUGUUUAAAUGUAAUACCGUCGAAGGAUUCGGCUAAAUAGCUGGCGACCAUGUGGUAAGGUGCCAAGGUACAACUCAUGCAACGAAAAGAACCAUUAAGUUGGUUAAUCACAAGUUCGGAGUCGCCGAGGACGAGGGCGCGGGUCGCCCGCAGGUCAUGAAGGAUUCCAAGGCCAACGAGUAGGGCUUCGUAUUCAGCUUGAUUGUUGGUGCAUUCAAAAUCCAACUUAAGCGAAAAUAGCUAGCGAUCGUGGUUUGGGGAUUGAAUGAAGAUUCCCACGCCCGCCGAAGACGACGUACUGGAGCUGUCAAAAUACAUCGUCCAAUGGUUGUCGCGCGUCUGAACCAUGCCGAUUUCAACGUCGUUGCCCCCAAAACCAUAUGGGGAGGGAUGUUGAGCAAGGAAAUCAGCCAGUGCCUGGCCCUUGACAGCUUUCUGGGCUACGUACUGCAAGCUAAAUUUAGACAGUGCCAUUGUCCAUUUCCCUAUGCGGCCCUUUACGAUUGGUUGGGUGAGCAUGUAGCGGAUGACGUCGGUCUGAGCAAUGACUUGGGUGACUGAUGGGAGCAUAUAAUGCCGAAGCUUGGAAGCGGCGAAAAAUACGGCCAGGCACAAGUUCUCGACGGCGGAAUAAUUGAUCUCUGGUUGACUGAGAUUGCGGCUGAGAUAAAAGAUAGCCUGCUCCCGUCCGGCGUCGUUGUCUUGCGCGAGGAGGCAGCCGAUGGACUCUUCGGCCGCCGAGAUAUAGAGAUUAAGAGGCUUACCGCGCCGAGGAGGGACCAGGACAGGUGGGUUCAUAAGGGAGACUUUGAUUUGCGUAAACGCCGCCUGAUGCUCGUCGUUCCACACGAAUUUAUCUGAGUCCUUGAGUUUCAAAAACGUGGAGAACGCUUUCAUUUUACCUGCCGAGUUAGCAAUAAAUCGACGGAGGAAAUUGAUCUGUCCGAGUAAGGACUGGAGUUGUUUCUUCGUCGUUGGGGGUGGGGCAUUGAUGAUUGCACGUGCCUUAUUCGUAUUGACUUCAAUCCCCCGGUGAUGCACGAGGAAACCAAGAAAAUUCCCGGCCGACACGCCGAAGGCACAUUUGGCAUGAUUCAUCUUGAGGUUGUGCCGGCGCAUACGGAGGAAAGCCUGUCGGAGAUCAUCCAGAUGUGUCCGUCGGCGUUAAGAUUUGAUGACAACAUCGUCGAUAUAAACUUCGACGAUGGUUCCAAUUAAAUCAUGAAAGAUGGUGUUCAUCGCCCUUUGGUAUGUGGCGCCGGCAUUUUUGAGGCCGAAUGGCAUAACAACCUAUUCGUAAGUGCCGAGUGCCCCCGGGCAACGGAAAGCAGUUUUGUGCACAUCGGCUUCGGCAAUGAAUAUUUGGUUGUACCCGGCGUGUCCAUCCAUAAAGGAUAAGAUCGCAUGAUUCACCGCAGCAUCGAUUAACAGGUCUGAAAUCGGCAUUGGAUACUCAUCUUUGGGAGUUGCCAAAUUCAGAUUUCUAAAAUCGAUGCAGAUGCGUAGUGCACCAUUUUUCUUUAAAACAAGCACGAUAUUUGCCAACCAUUCAACAUAUCGAGCUGUUCGAAUGAACCCGGCUUUUAAAAGCCGAACCAAUUCGUCCUUGAUGCCGAGUUGCACUUCGGUCGAGAAUCGACGAGGUGGCUGACGGAAAGGUUUACAUCCAGGCUUAAUACGUAAUUCAUGCUCGACCAGAGUACGAUCUAAGCCGGGCAUUUCAUGAUAGCUCCAAGCAAAACAAUCUUUGAACUCCGUAAGCAAGGCACGAAACUCGUCCUUCAUUUGUUGGGGAAGUAAAGCACUAACAAACAGAGGCCGUGGGUCAUCGGCCGUCCCAACAUUAAUCUCUUCCACGGGGUCCUUAACUUGGGGCCGAUGAUCUUCGAGCUUGGCCGGGGCGGCGUGAAUUUUAUCCAGAGAUAAGACAGGAUCAUUAUCUCAUUCGGCAAGAAACUCGACGAGGUUAACGCCCGAAUUUGGUUGUUUAGAUAUAGUAUACCAAUGGCCAACAGUCGUUCCAUAGUAGAUGAAACCGCGGCCCUACGUGUUUCCCGAUCGGUGUCAAACAUCAGCUUCGGGGAGGAAAUUGGCUAAUCCGAGUCUCGUCGAAUCCUGCUGGACAGUCUCGGCGCCAACCUCGAUAGCUUUCUGAACCGAAAUCCGAGUCGGCCGUCAUUCUUUAUUGAAGCCUUGCAAAGUAAUGUAGCCAACGUGGUCAUCAUAAUACCGUGCUUGGAUCAUGUUAGCUUCGAAGGGCUGGCUAUCGGCCGGGUGAACAGUAACCGAGUUGCCGUCCCAAAUGACAAGCACUUGAUACAAUGAGGAAGGAAUACAGCUGGUUUGAUGAAUCCAAUCUCGACCGAGCAGUGCAUUAUACUCAGUUUUGGAAUCAACCACGAAAAAGGCGGUCAUGUGAGUGUGACCGGCAAUAUUCACAGUUAACGGAAGUACAUCUUUGGUUUAAGAUUUGUUGCCGACGAAACUACUCAUUGUGAUCCCUGACGGAAUAAGUUCGUCAUUCGAGCGACGUAAGGCCUUCAUGAUGUUCAGAGGCAUGAUAUUGACGGUAGCUCCACAGUCGACAAAAACUUUAGAAACUGGAUACCCCUCGAUAUGGGCCGUCACAUACAAAGGCUUUAAAUGGUGAAGUUUGGCCGAUGAUGAACGAGGAAGCAAUUCGGCCAAAGCCGCCUUUAGACUAUCAUCGUUUGUCGUUGACUCAACUUCAGUAACAGAUACAAAAUCAACAUGGCCGGCUUCUUUGGUGACUACAUCACCAUCGAGGAAAUUCGGUUGGGUCGUGCUUGAUUGAAAAUCAGCAGGUAACACAUGGACCAUACUGAUUUCCAUGUUAUCCAGGACUGACGGGCCUAUCGGGUUAGGACCCUCCUCACUAGCCUCAUCUCUUGUCUGGUCGGCGACCGCGGACUCUGUUGCUGUCAAAGUUGGAAACGAGACUCUUCUGUUCUUUCUUCGAUGGUUUGAUCCUGCGGUGCUGCUUCGGCAACUUGUUGGUUCUGCGUAACUACCUCAGGUGAGGUUGAGAUCGACAGUGUGCUUGGGGUCAGGACCUGCUCCUGGUAGUGUAGCCAGGCAUCCCUGGUGUCGAGAUAAGCAUCCAGACGUGCAACGCGUGCUAUUUCAUCGGUCGUAAGGCCGAAGAGCGAAACAGCCGAAAAUACUUCGAAGUGAUAUCGUAAAUACUGAAGGUCCUCCAUCGAAAAAGGAAGGUCGGCUGCAUCGAUAUCAGUGUAUGGGUCGACUUCAAAUCCAAGGACGCGAGCUUCUUGUAUGUGCUGGAACCUUGCUUUCAAUCCUGGGUCUGAGGUUUUCUGGAUAAUUCGCUCGGCAUCAGGACAAGUCAGGACUAGAUCAAUGGUGUCCUGGCAUGCCUUCGGCAAACCAUACAGAUCGUUGGCCGAAUGUUGCUUAUGAAAUUCACGCAUAUAUUCCAAAGCCUCCCCAAGGAACGGGGGAUGCAAGUUUCGUCGAAUUUUGAUCAAAGGUUCUUGUGUAGCCGGCGGGGCUAAUUUACUUUCGGCCUCUUGCCUGAAAUGUUCAAGGCGGGCCUUCAUCUCCCCUGGUCGAAGAAGAAGUUUGAUCUGUUUAUCAGCCUCUUCAAACGUGGUUUCGACAUCUUGGUCGACCAGCCGUUUCCCUUGAACCAACUCUGUCAUAAUAGCUGGAGGUGGUCGCUUAUCAUCAGUAGCAAUUGUGUCCUUCGACCGCCAUUUAGGGACCGAAGUUUCUUGGGCCGCCCGUCGGCGGGCCAUGCAAUCUAUCCUUUGGUGCCUAAGUUUCUGGGAUUUGGACAGUGCGGUGUAGACGCCUUUCGAAGAAUGAUAUGUAUACCAACGUUGAUCUCUAGGCUCGGGAGGUUUGAAGGUUUUUUGGCUCCGCGAUGAUUCUGAACUGCUAGAAUUACGUUUAUAGUAAUCAUCGUCAUAGAAUGAAGCAUCAAAAUCGAGGCACCGCCGGACCGGGGGUGUCUCUUCCAUCCGUACUUUAGGACCGAGCCUGUAAAAAACCCCUUGAUGCUGGCCUACGUUGGCUACCUUUUGUCGGGUUGUGGCCAUAGGUCGUUCUGUUAUAAGCGAAGAGGACUUUUCCUCUAGCUCACUGUCGACCUUUGCUCUACAUUUACUGCACAAAACCACCGUCCCACUGUCUUCAUCGGUGCUAUAAUCCAUCAUAGGUUUGACAACAGCGGGUCCCGUCAACGUCGUAGGUGGUUCGUUUGAACGAAAAUCGACCAUGAACCGUGGUCGAGAAUUCUGAUUCCGCGGGCAUUGCGUCGCAACAACUUCGGCCUUUCCUUUCCCUUUGUCCUUAGGUAGGCAUGCAUCGACCAUAUUUACUGUUGCCGUGGGGAACGGAUCAGUAUCAACACUCAUCUUCUUCUCUGGAAAUUUCAGUUUGCCAUUAUCAAUCCAGCUUUGGACGUUGUCGUGAAACACGACGCAAUUGUUUGUCGUAUGUUUGCUUGAAUUGUGGUAUUUGCAAUACACUUUUCCUUUAAGUUCUUCGGCCUUGGGAAUGUUGUGACCAGGCCGAAGCUUGAUGAUUCUUGCUGAUAACAGUUGGUCAAAAUUUACGUCAGCCUUUGUAAUAUCAAAAGUAUAAACUUAUGACGGUUUCAAUGUUCCUUCAGUGGCCGAGCGGCUUUUGACUUCCCUAGAGUCAACUUGAGUCAAUGCCUUGCAAACGUAUGGCUUAUCUAUCACUAUCUCAGCGGCAUCCACACUAACGCAUUCAUCCUCGGUUGAUGCAUAAUUGACAGUAGGAUUCUUGUAAAUCGUCCCCCGAGUUGGAGCUUUCGAAGUCUUUUCCUCGCGGAGCAAAUAAUCAUACUGUUCGACAUGUUGGGCUAAUUCGUACAUAUCCCGAAAGUUUGCCCCCAAGAAUUUCUUUUUGUAUUCGACGUCGAGGUCGUUCAAAGCAAGCAUGACAAAUUCGACUUCGGGUAAAGGCACUUGGCACCAAUUCCUGGCUGAUUUGAACCUGGUAAGAUAAUCCAUUGGUGACUCAUCAGAUGCGUGAGCCAUCCUUGCUAAUGAAGAAACUGACAUCUCCAUUCCUGGCCGAUAAAACUGCUCAUGGAAUUUCUCGACCAACUCCUCCCAAUUUUGGACGGAAUUAGGAGGGAGAUUGAUAUACCAGGCAAAUGCUGAGCCGGUCAAUGAGAAAUUGAACAGCCGUAAUUUAUGGAAAUCACUAUUAACAUCCCCGCAUUGUGCGGUGAAAUGAGCCACAUGCUCCAACGAAGACAGGGACGAUUCACCGGCAAAAAGGCUGAAAUCUGGGAUUUUGAAACCCUUCGGGUAUCCGAACGUUUCCACGUAAGCUGGGUACGGAUGAAUAAACUUAGGAAACUUCGGCCCUUUCUUCAUGGCCGAGUCGAUCAUUCGCUGAACUUCGGUCAUAUCAACAGGUGUUGCUUCGACCCUCUGGUCGGUUCCGUCUGACCUACUAUUCGACCCUCCUCCUUUUUCCAAGUCAAUUGGUUUGAGCCGAGUAGGAAUAGGCUCGGCCGGUACAAUUGGUAACGGAUUGUUUCCUGGUGGUAAGUGCUGGAGAAGAUCGAAAGGCCUGCUGUCACUGACUUUACUAACCAGCAUUUCGAGCAGUCUAGUUUGUUGCUCAUUGGAAAUGAGUAUCACGUCAUGCAGCUUGUCAAUGCCUCGACUAAACGUCUGUUCGACUGGCCGAGACUGCUCGUCUAGUCGCUUUCGAAGAAACGACCUUGUUGGUGGGUCAGAUCCUUCACCACCAUCCUCGUCGCACUUCUCUACUAUCCCUUCAUUGAGAACGCAGGUGUUUCUGUUAGGGAUUUCUAGAUCGCGGAGUUGACCGCCGAGAUUAACUUCUCUCUCUUGGCGAGUCGCGCUUGUGGACUCAGGUGUCACGGCGUUAAGGGGAUUCUGCGCCUGUGGUACACUUUGUCCUAUGCUCUGAUUCGGAAAAUCAGCUGUCGACUUUCCCAUAGCUGUUUUCUUUUUUACCGAUCAUUUUUUAAUUGGCAUGAACUUCGUAGUUUAGCACUGGGUCCCACUGGGCGUGCCAAAAUGUUGACCCUAGAAACUACAAAGCCUACGUGGCGCGCAGGCCGAGUAAUCUAUAAGCUAAUUACGUCCUUCGGUGAAUGCGGGGCGUGCCAACUCGUCGGCCGAGCUCGGCCGAGGAGUAAAUUUGUUGAUGUUGCGUUGGGUGCGCGGCUAACUUCUGCGUCUUGCGAUUACGGCCGAGAAAGGAACACGUCUCGGCCUCUUGGGCUCUCGAACCUGAAGACAAGGUUACUAUUCUUACGAAGUUCAAUCUCAAAUUCGGCUUUCAAUGUGCCGAAUGUAAUAACUUGUAACACCUCACUUCGUCGAGAAGGCUGAUGAGAUGACCUCGACCAAUAAGGAUUCGGAAACCCUUCUCGAUCGAGACUUGGAUAGGUAAUCAACCGUCUUCGCCGCAGUGCUGUUGAUGCCAACGGAAGAUGCUGCGAGAUCGGCUGAUUCUACGGUGAUAGAGCUAUCUAUGCCAACUUAAGAUAUCACCGGUUGCUUUCACAGUGCUGUUGAUGCCAACGGAAGAUGUGUCAGCGAAAAAGAAGAAGAAAAAAUCUCAAGUUGUUGAGAGUUUGCGCAGGGCAAUUUUGUAUUGAUUUGCAGGCCUUUGAAUGACGCACAACUUCCUCUAUUUAUAGUACUGGAUCUUGAAUUCGAGUUAAAAUCCUACUCGGACUAGGUCUUCCUCUCCGGAUCAACACCACCUCGACCAGUCCUAUUUUCACUAGGAUUGUGAACCUAGUCCUUAACUGAGCCGGAUUCGCUUCUGGGUUACUGAUCCUGCCGAGACUCCCUAUUGUACUAGGACUUGACUUGCGUUAUGAUCUAACCGACCUACGCUUGGAAGCCCACGAGCUGAACGAUCCAUGGCCUUCUCGCCGCACGGCCUCCCGGGCCGAGAAUGAUCCUACCCUUGGCCCAAACUAUUAUUGGGCCCAAACAGUAGUACUACCGGGUACCCUGAAAAUUUUCUCUUAGAAAACAUGCUUCACAAUAAUUUGGUUUGUCAUUUACCUUCAAAACCAAACCCGACUGAAGAUACUUUACAGAAUCACUUUUGUUUUAUAUUGCUGAAAUAUUACUUAACCAUCCAAAUUUUCAUUGGUACAUGCACUUGUUCUUCUAUUCCUGUUAGUAGUGCUGGAGUUUUUAUCCAAAUUUCGAUAAAAAAACCGAUGUUGUCUUGUAUCUUUGGCACGAGAAAAUCUUAUGUGCCACAACAUAUGUAUACCUAUGUAUCUGCAUCCCAGUGACAGGGUAGAAUCUCUCAGCAUACAUAGCAAAUAAUGUAACGUUAAUAUGUUCAACCCGAAAUUAGUAUCUACACAAAAUUGAAGAUGGUGGCAGGCUAAACAUGUUUGCUAAUCCAUUGAACCAGUAACUUCUAGUAACGCAGUGCAUGUUUCUUGGUUGUCCAUAUGCAGAACAUCUAGACUUUUCUUACAAUUGAAAUUGAUUCACAAAUUUUUCUAAGUUUCCAGAUGACGAACCGCGUGCACCAGUGUCUUCCUCUGCCAAUUUCUUCCACUCC
This 15219-nucleotide long non-coding RNA is filed under the name Malus domestica (apple). Its description in RNAcentral is "long non-coding RNA (MDOM_LNC017333)". Lineage: Eukaryota; Viridiplantae; Streptophyta; Magnoliopsida; Rosales; Rosaceae. The record is from RNAcentral.